UGAGGAAUAUUGCACAAUGGGGGCAACCCUGAUGCAGCGACGCCGCGUGAGUGAAGAAGGCCUUCGGGUCGUAAAGCUCUUUUCUGCGUGACGAGCAAGGACGGUAGCGCAGGAAUAAGUCUCGGCUAACUACGUGCCAGCAGCCGCGGUAAAACGUAGGAGACAAACGUUAUCCGGAGUUACUGGGCGUAAAGGGCAUGCAGGCGGUUGAUUAAGUCUAGCGUGAAAGCUCCCGGCUAAACCGGGAGAGGUCGUUGGAUACUGGUUGACUAGAGGACGGUAGAGGCGAGUGGAAUUCCGGGUGUAGUGGUGAAAUGCGUAGAGAUCCGGAGGAACACCAGUGGCGAAGGCGACUCGCUGGGCCGUACCUGACGCUAAGACGCGACAGCAUGGGGAGCGAA
This 401-nucleotide ribosomal RNA is filed under the name uncultured bacterium. RNAcentral's name for it is "bacterial SSU rRNA". It matches the Rfam family "Bacterial small subunit ribosomal RNA", at positions 355 to 772 of the family's 1533-position model. The record is from RNAcentral.